Drosophila erecta is the source of this 1868-nucleotide long non-coding RNA. RefSeq lists it as uncharacterized. NCBI's taxonomy places the organism in Eukaryota, Metazoa, Arthropoda, Insecta, Diptera, Drosophilidae. The record is from RefSeq and is a predicted model, not a curated record. The transcript is spliced from 4 exons.
AGCUGAUCUUGAGAGAGCUUGGCAGUAGCACCGUUAAAGCUUUAACGCAAAAGCUUUUACACAAGCUUUCAAAGUGAAACUAUUUUGACGGCAAACUUCAUAAACAUUAAGCUAAAUGUUACGAUCCAAAUGAGACAUGCUGCCCGAACGAACGAAACUCAACUUUCGGCCAAGUUAAGAAAGGAUAACUGAGUCGACGGCCAUAAAAAUUCGAAACAGAAGCCAGAUCUUAUGUGCAGAGCGUAUUUGGAAAGGGGGUGGCCAUAGGUAGGGAGCACACAAGUGCAUGGAACGCCGAAACAAGCCAAGAGAAUGACUUGGCCAGGCCAAAAAGGAAUUGGCUUGGCCCCGAAACAGAGUCAACAACUGUGCGCCACACAAGAGUUUGCCAAAAAGAUUGCACUACACCAAGGAGCAAAAACAAAAAAAAAACAAAAAAAACUAGAGAGAAAUCGCAUAAAACUCUAUAAAGGACACAGAGGACCGAAAAGGACAACAACCUGACUGGCAGGGCAAACGAAACCAAUUGAAGAAAUGUUGCUGACACCAAAAACGAAACUGCAGGAAGACGCCGAUGAUGAGGAUGAGCCAGGGAAUGAGGCUAAGCCCGAGGAUGCCGAGCGCAUCCUUGGGCCAGUGAUGUGGAGCAGAAGCGUUCCAGGACUCGUUGCUGGCUUACAACACCUGCGGGAAAGGAAGCGGACCUCUUGCCACCCCUUCUGCCCGCUCCGCUCCAAUUGACCCGAACCAGAGAUGGCCAAAAAGCAUCGAUUAGGUGAAGGACUAGAAACUAACUAUUACCCAUCUAAGGGUUUUACAUUUCAAACAUUUUUUAGAGAAUUGGCCAGCAUUUAAUAUGAAAGCAAGUAUAGAUUUUCUCAAGAAGAACCACUGUUAUAUAGGGCUAGUGCCGCACUUGCAAAAUCGCUAGCUCAGCUUCAACAGAAGUAGUGAAGCAAGUUCUGAGCGGCAGGCGGCAGCAAUUAAAUAGCUUCGAGCACUCCGAACUCAAUUGCAGCAAUUUCAAUAACCGUUGAGGACACUCAAAGGACGGCAAGGUCCUUGCGAUAAUCUGUCAUGCAGCGAGGAAGCCCAGACACCCACACACCCACAACACACAGGACGAGUGCUCAGCACCCCACUUUCCAUUCACACCCAAGGACAACUGGAAUAUCCGCUUUGGGUCUGGACCCUUGAGGAACUUUCUCGCACUCACCUAUUUCACUUGCUGCUGGAAUUUGUUAUAUUUCUCCUUUUUUCCUCUUAACACUUGUAGAAUUUGUAGCCGAAAGCUGAGAACCGGGCUAUUCCAUUUGUAGUCUUUGUAUAUUUUUUUGUAGAUUUUCUUAUUUUCUAUUAUUGAUAAAAGCAUGGGAAGAUUGACGCGGUACGGCCGAAAGUUUAACACAUUGAGAAUUUUGCCACCAAGAAGCCGAAAAAUUGAUGAACUUUUAUAAAAUUAUAUGUACGCUACACAAUCUGAUUUGGAAACACUACAACUAAAAAUCUAUAUUGAAACGAUUUGACAAGCUGUCAGGGCGGCCAACUGAGAUAAGAAAAUUCUCUCUGUUUUUAAUCUUUAUAAACAUUGCUAAAAAUUCCAAAAAUAUUCCUAAUUGCGAAACAUGAAACAAAGUUUGAAAUGAAAUGCCAUUGAUUGCUAUCGCUGAUUCAUAUCAGUUGCUCACAGUUCACGAAAUCGAACGUUUGACAUUAGCAAUAAAUGAAUCAACAAAUAUAAAAGUUUUGCCAAGAAAGUAAUUUGCUAAAAUUGGCGAGUCGAAAAGAAAGUCAAGAGGGUGAGCAAGAAAUACCCCAAAGAAAUUCAAUGAGGCUGAAAAUUUCCUGGCUCGAUGCCAAUUGAUGCC